This 290-nucleotide long non-coding RNA is filed under the name Elaeis guineensis (African oil palm). RNAcentral describes it as "long non-coding RNA (EGUI_LNC074918)". Lineage: Eukaryota; Viridiplantae; Streptophyta; Magnoliopsida; Arecales; Arecaceae. The record is from RNAcentral.
AAUGCCUCCAAAUGCUGCCUUCUCUUUGCAUAAGAUGUGUAUCUUUGGAGACCAGGAUGUGAGUCUCUAAAAGCUACCCUUCUGUGCCACUCGAGAUAUAAGCGCUAUGCAUCUUUGGAGACCAAGACUUGAGUUCUUGGAGACUUCCAUUCUAUGUCAUGCCGUAUACACAAAACACGUGGUCGUCGAUCAGAAGACCUACCAGAAUCUGGUCGAUUAGAAUCAAGCCAAUCACAGCAAGAUUGGAAGGCCGAGCUACCGCACUCUAGAUGGAGUUACUGAGUCCAGGG